Homo sapiens (human) is the source of this 1322-nucleotide long non-coding RNA. Ensembl annotates it as promoter of MAT2A antisense radiation-induced circulating long non-coding RNA. Its record names the gene PARTICL. NCBI's taxonomy places the organism in Eukaryota, Metazoa, Chordata, Mammalia, Primates, Hominidae. The record is from Ensembl.
GUCCCCCAGCGGAGGCGGCGGGAAUCGCGGAGGUUUUGUGCUGCGGCUGGGGUCUUUCUGGCCGUCCCGCCUCUAGAUGCCGGGUGGCAGGGAGCCGGUGGCGGUCGGCCAUGUGAAGGUGGCCAUCUUGGCCGGCCAGCGAGGGCUCCUCACGGCCUUCCUUCGGCGUCCCUGCCCGGCUCGUUGCCGGCCCCGGGAUAUCUGAGGGGCGCAGGCCCACCUUCUAGUCGUUUCCUGGUGAAUGGCUCUGCUGAAGAUGGCCGGAAAGCAGAUUAAUGAAGGUGCUGCCAUCGAUUUAAACAAUCGCCCUCCUGCCCGCUCCCCUGCGCUAAAGUUUCUGAGGGAUCCUCACCCUUCGUGGUUCGUGGACUUAAAAGUGGAGGCAGCGCUCCAGCCUUUCCCUCCAGAGAGAAAGGAGGCCGCUCCCAAGUCCGUCCUUGCCCCGUGGCCUUCCUGUUCCUUUGAAGGGGGGGGGAAUCGAUGUUUCAAUCCUCUGUUCAGGAGAAUAUGGAACGAACAUUUCUUUUUUGGUGGGUGGGGGCUAUUCGUUCCCUUGAAUGUGCUUAAGCAGAUCUCUUGACGGCGUGGAAUGGGCUGUUUCAUGAAGCUUUCACUUUAAAAUGUCCACCUGCGUUUGUCCCAGUUUUGCCCAAUAAAGGAAUUACAGGGAAAAAGAGCGAAACAAAACUUGAGCCAGCAAGGAGUAUGGAGUCCCGUUUGGAGGGAGCCCGCCUUGGGGGCGGGGGUCUCUGCAGCCUGUUCUGGGGCUGGGCCUCGGUGCAGGUCUGGUCGGGCUGGUGGCCUGGUGGCCCUGAGCGGAGCGCGUGACAAGAACGCCGGGUUUAAUGAGGUUCUCAGGGAACGGCCUGCUCCUAGCAUGGGAUGUACUUUACGCUGGGGAGGUGAAGGAGACCCCUAGUAACAGUCUCCAGCUGCCUACUGCUGGCGGCAGUAGAACAAGGUGCAUUCCCAAGAACAAUCCUCUCCGUCGGUGCAGGAGGAAAGGUGGGAUUUGCUAAAGGCUCAGUGGGAAACAAAGGAAGCACUUGGGCUGUGCUGGGGGCAUCCACAAAGAAGAUAAAGGGCUCCUCCCCAGACUCAGUGACCACAUCCACGGUCGCUCAAAGCAGGCAGCAAGAAAAGGUUCGACCACAAAAGAGACAAUAGGUGAUGAUAUUUUUAUUCGUUGCUUUUUACUUUUCAAGCUAACCCUUCAUGGGAAAGUAACUGUAUAAGACUAUUAAAUUUUUUUGUUAUUUUUUAAAGGAGAAUGCCAAUUUAUUAACUUACAAUGUGUAAUAAAAUUGUCAACUGGAACAAAA